GACGAACGCUGGCGGCGCGCCUAACACAUGCCAGUCGAACGAGCGAGAGAGAGCUUGCUUUCUCGAGCGAGUGGCGAAAGGGUGAGUAACGCGUGAGGAACCUGCCUCAAAGAGGGGGACAACAGUUGGAAACGACUGCUAAUACCGCAUAAGCCCACGACCCGGCAUCGGGUAGAGGGAAAAGGAGCAAUCCGCUUUGAGAUGGCCUCGCGUCCGAUUAGCUAGUUGGUGAGGUAACGGCCCACCAAGGCGACGAUCGGUAGCCGGACUGAGAGGUUGAACGGCCACAUUGGGACUGAGACACGGCCCAGACUCCUACGGGAGGCAGCAGUGGGGAAUAUUGCACAAUGGGGGAAACCCUGAUGCAGCGACGCCGCGUGGAGGAAGAAGGUCUUCGGAUUGUAAGCUCCUGUUGUUGAGGAAGAUAAUGACGGUACUCAACAAGGAAGUGGCGGCUAACUACGUG
Molecule: ribosomal RNA, 466 nt
Filed under: uncultured bacterium
Lineage: Bacteria
Description: partial 16S ribosomal RNA
Rfam family: Bacterial small subunit ribosomal RNA
Source: RNAcentral